AGUGAACGCUGGCGGUAGGCCUAACACAUGCAAGUCGAACGGCAGCACAGUAAGAGCUUGCUCUUACGGGUGGCGAGUGGCGGACGGGUGAGGAAUACAUCGGAAUCUACUUUUUCGUGGGGGAUAACGUAGGGAAACUUACGCUAAUACCGCAUACGACCUACGGGUGAAAGCAGGGGAUCUUCGGACCUUGCGCGAUUGAAUGAGCCGAUGUCGGAUUAGCUAGUUGGCGGGGUAAAGGCCCACCAAGGCGACGAUCCGUGGCUGGUCUGAGAGGAUGAUCAGCCACACUGGAACUGAGACACGGUCCAGACUCCUACGGGAGGCAGCAGUGGGGAAUAUUGGACAAUGGGCGCAAGCCUGAUCCAGCCAUACCGCGUGGGUGAAGAAGGCCUUCGGGUUGUAAAGCCCUUUUGUUGGGAAAGAAAAGCAGCAGGUGAAUACCCCGCUGUUCUGACGGUACCCAAAGAAUAAGCACCGGCUAACUUCGUG
This 492-nucleotide ribosomal RNA is filed under the name uncultured bacterium. RNAcentral describes it as "partial 16S ribosomal RNA". It matches the Rfam family "Bacterial small subunit ribosomal RNA", at positions 29 to 507 of the family's 1533-position model. The record is from RNAcentral.